UACGUAGGGGGCUAGCGUUGUCCGGAUUUAUUGGGCGUAAAGAGCGUGUAGGCGGCUAGGUAGGUCCGUUGUGAAAACUCGAGGCUCAACCUCGAGACGUCGAUGGAAACCAUCUAGCUAGAGUCCGGAAGAGGAGAGUGGAAUUCCUGGUGUAGCGGUGAAAUGCGCAGAUAUCAGGAAGAACACCCGUGGCGAAGGCGGCUCUCUGGGACGUGACUGACGCUGAGACGCGACAGCGUGGGGAGCAAACAGG
Molecule: ribosomal RNA, 253 nt
Filed under: uncultured bacterium
Lineage: Bacteria
Description: partial 16S ribosomal RNA
Rfam family: Bacterial small subunit ribosomal RNA
Source: RNAcentral